CAGCAGUGGGGAAUAUUGCACAAUGGGCGCAAGCCUGAUGCAGCCAUGCCGCGUGUAUGAAGAAGGCCUUCGGGUUGUAAAGUACUUUCAGCAGUGAGGAAGGCGGGUACGUUAAUAGCGUGCUCGUUUGACGUUUAGCUGCAGAAGAAGCACCGGCUAACUCCGUGCCAGCAGCCGCGGUAAUACGGAGGGUGCGAGCGUUAAUCGGAAUUACUGGGCGUAAAGCGCAUGCAGGUGGUUUGUUAAGUCAGAUGUGAAAGCCCGGGGCUCAACCUCGGAAUUGCAUUUGAAACUGGCAGACUAGAGUACUGUAGAGGGGGUAGAAUUUCAGGUGUAGCGGUGAAAUGCGUAGAGAUCUGAAGGAAUACCGGUGGCGAUGGCGGCCCCCUCGGACAGAUACUGACACUCAGAUGCGAAAGCGUGGGGAGCAAACAGGAUUAGAUACCCUGGUAG
This 453-nucleotide ribosomal RNA is filed under the name uncultured bacterium. RNAcentral's name for it is "bacterial SSU rRNA". It matches the Rfam family "Bacterial small subunit ribosomal RNA", at positions 349 to 793 of the family's 1533-position model. The record is from RNAcentral.